This 175-nucleotide unclassified non-coding RNA is filed under the name Phomopsis asparagi. RNAcentral's name for it is "partial ITS2". The record is from RNAcentral. Lineage: Eukaryota; Fungi; Ascomycota; Sordariomycetes; Diaporthales; Diaporthaceae.
UCAACCCUCAAGCCUGGCUUGGUGAUGGGGCACUGCCUGUAAAAGGGCAGGCCCUGAAAUUCAGUGGCGAGCUCGCCAGGACCCCGAGCGCAGUAGUUAAACCCUCGCUCUGGAAGGCCCUGGCGGUGCCCUGCCGUUAAACCCCCAACUUUUGAAAAUUUGUGGUCGGUAGAGG